Salmo salar (Atlantic salmon) is the source of this 54-nucleotide non-coding RNA. The record is from Rfam. NCBI's taxonomy places the organism in Eukaryota, Metazoa, Chordata, Actinopteri, Salmoniformes, Salmonidae.
AAUGUAUGCAAAUGUAAGUCACUCUGGAUAAGAGCGUCUGCUAAAUGACGUAAA